ACAGAACGAGGAGGAUGUUGAAACCGGCCUGGUCGGAGCUCCUGCUUGCAGCGACGUCAUGAAGCUCUAAAUUAAAGUAGAUGAUGAGAUCAAAAAAGUAGUAGAUGCGAUCUUCAAGACCUUUGGAUGUGGUUCUGCCAUCGCCUCCUCCUCCGUAGGUUCAUAUAAAGCUAAGAAAUGAAUCGCACUCUAUAUGCAUGUGUGUGUUAUUUUACAAUUUUAGUAAUUAAUUUUCAUGUUUCUGCAUAAUUCAUUUUAUUUUUUUUGGAGAGUUUUUCAAUUUUCUGUUGGUUAAUUCACGAAAGAAAAUCAUGGUCCAGUGAAUUUAAGAUAUGGUGCUUGAGAUUGGAAAGUCUGAUAUUUCUGGGAUUUGGAGGUGUUCCCUGCUAAUUAGAUUUUAAGAAAAAGAUAUUUAGAAAGAUAUUCAUUCAGUGACGCUAUUUUAAGAAUUGCAGAAAGAAUAUUUCAAGAAUCAAUGGUUUCUGCUGCUAUGGAUACACAGCAUGUUUUGAAGCGAUGGAAUAUGAAGCUGUAUAAUGAAAAGCUAAACCGGAACCGAGUUGCCUGAAGAAAAUUUCGGCCUACGUUGACGGGCAAAAUUUUUAGUUGUGUGAUUAUUUUAGAGAAUUUUCAACUUGUUCAAAUACUUUGUGUGUUGUAUCACUUGAUACAUUGUGGUUUAAUGAUUUUAGAUUGUAUUAAAU
This is a long non-coding RNA of Olea europaea var. sylvestris, 704 nucleotides long. RefSeq lists it as uncharacterized. The transcript is spliced from 2 exons. Lineage: Eukaryota; Viridiplantae; Streptophyta; Magnoliopsida; Lamiales; Oleaceae. The record is from RefSeq and is a predicted model, not a curated record.